RNAcentral lists this ribosomal RNA (1357 nucleotides) under uncultured bacterium. Its description in RNAcentral is "16S ribosomal RNA". It matches the Rfam family "Bacterial small subunit ribosomal RNA", at positions 28 to 1380 of the family's 1533-position model. The record is from RNAcentral.
GAUGAACGCUAGCUACAGGCUUAACACAUGCAAGUCGAGGGGCAGCAUGGUCUUAGCUUGCUAAGGCCGAUGGCGACCGGCGCACGGGUGAGUAACACGUAUCCAACCUGCCGUCUACUCUUGGACAGCCUUCUGAAAGGAAGAUUAAUACAAGAUGGCAUCAUGAGUCCGCAUGUUCACAUGAUUAAAGGUAUUCCGGUAGACGAUGGGGAUGCGUUCCAUUAGAUAGUAGGCGGGGUAACGGCCCACCUAGUCUUCGAUGGAUAGGGGUUCUGAGAGGAAGGUCCCCCACAUUGGAACUGAGACACGGUCCAAACUCCUACGGGAGGCAGCAGUGAGGAAUAUUGGUCAAUGGGCGAGAGCCUGAACCAGCCAAGUAGCGUGAAGGAUGACUGCCCUAUGGGUUGUAAACUUCUUUUAUAAAGGAAUAAAGUCGGGUAUGGAUACCCGUUUGCAUGUACUUUAUGAAUAAGGAUCGGCUAACUCCGUGCCAGCAGCCGCGGUAAUACGGAGGAUCCGAGCGUUAUCCGGAUUUAUUGGGUUUAAAGGGAGCGUAGAUGGAUGUUUAAGUCAGUUGUGAAAGUUUGCGGCUCAACCGUAAAAUUGCAGUUGAUACUGGAUAUCUUGAGUGCAGUUGAGGCAGGCGGAAUUCGUGGUGUAGCGGUGAAAUGCUUAGAUAUCACGAAGAACUCCGAUUGCGAAGGCAGCCUGCUAAGCUGCAACUGACAUUGAGGCUCGAAAGUGUGGGUAUCAAACAGGAUUAGAUACCCUGGUAGUCCACACGGUAAACGAUGAAUACUCGCUGUUUGCGAUAUACUGCAAGCGGCCAAGCGAAAGCGUUAAGUAUUCCACCUGGGGAGUACGCCGGCAACGGUGAAACUCAAAGGAAUUGACGGGGGCCCGCACAAGCGGAGGAACAUGUGGUUUAAUUCGAUGAUACGCGAGGAACCUUACCCGGGCUUAAAUUGCAGAUGAAUUACGGUGAAAGCCGUAAGCCGCAAGGCAUCUGUGAAGGUGCUGCAUGGUUGUCGUCAGCUCGUGCCGUGAGGUGUCGGCUUAAGUGCCAUAACGAGCGCAACCCUUGUUGUCAGUUACUAACAGGUUCCGCUGAGGACUCUGACAAGACUGCCAUCGUAAGAUGUGAGGAAGGUGGGGAUGACGUCAAAUCAGCACGGCCCUUACGUCCGGGGCUACACACGUGUUACAAUGGGGGGUACAGAGGGCCGCUACCACGCGAGUGGAUGCCAAUCCCCAAAACCUCUCUCAGUUCGGACUGGAGUCUGCAACCCGACUCCACGAAGCUGGAUUCGCUAGUAAUCGCGCAUCAGCCACGGCGCGGUGAAUACGUUCCCAGGCC